GACAGAGGGUGCAAACGUUGCUCGGAAUCACUGGGCGUAAAGGGCGUGUAGGCGGGAAGGAAAGUCGGGCGUGAAAUCCCUGGGCUCAACCCAGGAACUGCACUCGAAACUUCUUUUCUUGAGUGCCGGAGAGGAAAGCGGAAUUCCUGGUGUAGAGGUGAAAUUCGUAGAUAUCAGGAGGAACACCAGUGGCGAAGGCGG
RNAcentral lists this ribosomal RNA (201 nucleotides) under uncultured bacterium. RNAcentral's name for it is "partial 16S ribosomal RNA". It matches the Rfam family "Bacterial small subunit ribosomal RNA", at positions 524 to 724 of the family's 1533-position model. The record is from RNAcentral.